GUGAUAGAGGCGCGGGCUUCAUCAGUAGCCGGAGGGCGACACGGGAAUGUCGCCGGCGAAAGGGGAUCCCGCCGAAGCGUACACGAACCCCGGGCGUGUGCGCUGGGAUCACGCAAAAGAUGCGUGAUACUGUCGUUACACGGUAACGGAGUGCUAUUC
Molecule: non-coding RNA, 159 nt
Filed under: uncultured Ruminococcus sp.
Lineage: Bacteria; Bacillati; Bacillota; Clostridia; Eubacteriales; Oscillospiraceae
Description: Lysine riboswitch
Rfam family: Lysine riboswitch aptamer
About the family: Riboswitches are metabolite binding domains within certain messenger RNAs that serve as precision sensors for their corresponding targets.
Source: RNAcentral